GGCUAAAUAGAGUGCAGUGGUGUUUACAACUAAUUGGCCACAACCAGUUACGGAUUUCUUUGUUCCUUCUCCACUCCCACUACUUCACUCGACCAGCCUUUA
Molecule: Y RNA, 102 nt
Filed under: Microcebus murinus (gray mouse lemur)
Lineage: Eukaryota; Metazoa; Chordata; Mammalia; Primates; Cheirogaleidae
Description: Y RNA (ENSMICG00000044115.1)
Rfam family: Y RNA
About the family: Y RNAs are components of the Ro ribonucleoprotein particle (Ro RNP), in association with Ro60 and La proteins. The Y RNAs and Ro60 and La proteins are well conserved, but the function of the Ro RNP is not known. In humans the RNA component can be one of four small RNAs -- hY1, hY3, hY4 and hY5.
Source: Rfam by way of RNAcentral